This 578-nucleotide ribosomal RNA is filed under the name uncultured bacterium. RNAcentral describes it as "partial 16S ribosomal RNA". It matches the Rfam family "Bacterial small subunit ribosomal RNA", at positions 355 to 1376 of the family's 1533-position model. The record is from RNAcentral.
UGAGGAAUAUUGGUCAAUGGGCGAGAGCCUGAACCAGCCAAAUCGCGUGAAGGAAGACUGCCUUAUGGGUUGUAAACUUCUUUUAUACAGGAAUAAAAAAGGGGACGUGUCCCUUAUUGCAUGUACUGUAUGAAUAAGCAUCGGCUAACUCCGUGCCAGCAGCCGCGGUAAUACGGAGGAUGCGAGCGUUAUCCGGAUUUAUUGGGUUUAAAGGGUGCGCAGGCGGGCUUUUAAGUCAGCGGUGAAAUCUCGGGCUUAACUCCGAAACUGCCGUUGAAACUGGGAGUCUUGAGUAUGGAUGAAGUAGGCGGAAUUCGUUGUGUAGCGGUGACAUGCUUAGAUAUAACGAGGAACUCCGAUUGCGUAGGCAGCUUACUAAGCCAUAACUGACGCUCAAGCACGAAAGCGUGGGGAUCAAACAGGAUUAGAUACCCUGGUAGUCCACGCCGUAAACGAUGAUUACUAGUUGUAUGCGAUAUACCGUAUGUGACUAAGCGAAAGCGAUAAGUAAUCCACCUGGGGAGUACGCCGGCAACGGUGAAACUCAAAUGAAUUGACGGGGUCAUAGCUGUUUCCUG